Molecule: signal recognition particle RNA, 79 nt
Rfam family: Bacterial small signal recognition particle RNA
About the family: The signal recognition particle (SRP) is a universally conserved ribonucleoprotein involved in the co-translational targeting of proteins to membranes. Archaeal SRP consists of a 7S RNA and homologues of the eukaryotic SRP19 and SRP54 proteins.
GGUCCCUCGCGACGCUAGAUCGAAAAUCCCGCCAGGGCCGGAAGGCAGCAACGGUAUCGAUUGAUGCGGGCGCCGAGGU